This 498-nucleotide ribosomal RNA is filed under the name uncultured Cohnella sp. RNAcentral describes it as "bacterial SSU rRNA". It matches the Rfam family "Bacterial small subunit ribosomal RNA", at positions 33 to 507 of the family's 1533-position model. Lineage: Bacteria; Bacillati; Bacillota; Bacilli; Caryophanales; Paenibacillaceae. The record is from RNAcentral.
ACGACGCUGGCGGCGUGCCUAAUACAUGCAAGUCGAGCGGAUCUUGAUCGGGAGCUUGCUCCUGAUCUUGGUUAGCGGCGGACGGUGAGUAACACGUAGGUAACCUGCCCUCAAGACCGGGAUAACAUUCGGAAACGAAUGCUAAGACCGGAUACGCAAGUCUGUUGCAUAACGGGCUUGGGAAACACGGAGCAAUCUGUGGCUUGCGGAUGGGCCUGCGGCGCAUUAGCUAGUUGGUGAGGUAACGGCCCACCAAGGCGACGAUGCGUAGCCGACCUGAGAGGGUGAACGGCCACACUGGGACUGAGACACGGCCCAGACUCCUACGGGAGGCAGCAGUAGGGAAUCUUCCACAAUGGGCGAAAGCCUGAUGGAGCAACGCCGCGUGAGUGAGGAAGGCUUUCGGGUCGUAAAGCUCUGUUGCCAGGGAAGAAUAAGGGCUAGUUAACUGCUAGUCCGAUGACGGUACCUGAGAAGAAAGCCCCGGCUAACUACGUG